RNAcentral lists this transfer RNA (75 nucleotides) under Planctomycetota bacterium. Its description in RNAcentral is "tRNA-Gln". It matches the Rfam family "tRNA". From Rfam's summary of the family: Transfer RNA (tRNA) molecules are approximately 80 nucleotides in length. Their secondary structure includes four short double-helical elements and three loops (D, anti-codon, and T loops). The record is from RNAcentral. Lineage: Bacteria; Pseudomonadati; Planctomycetota.
UCGCGGGUCGUCCAACUGGUAGGACGCCUGGCUCUGAACCAGGAAAUCAAGGUUCGAAUCCUUGCCCGCGAACCA